CCUGGUGUCAGCCGCCGCGGUAAAACCAGCUCUCCGAGUGGUGGGGACGAUUAUUGGGCUUAAAGCGUUCGUAGCCGGCUCAGCAAGUCUUCCGUUAAAUCCAGCGAUCUAAUCGUUGGACUGCGGAAGAUACUGUUGGGCUAGGGGACGGGAGAAGCCGACGGUAUUCUCGGGGUAGGGGCGAAAUCCUAUAAUCCCGGGAGGACCACCAGUGGCGAAGGCGGUCGGCUAGAACGCGCCCGACGGUGAGGGACGAAAGCUGGGGGAGCGAACCGGAUUAGAUACCCGGGUAGUCCCAGCUGUAAACUAUGCGGGCUAGGUGUCAGUGUGGCUACGAGCCACUCUGGUGCCGCAGGGAAGCUCAUAA
This 367-nucleotide ribosomal RNA is filed under the name uncultured archaeon. RNAcentral describes it as "bacterial SSU rRNA". It matches the Rfam family "Archaeal small subunit ribosomal RNA", at positions 451 to 818 of the family's 1478-position model. The record is from RNAcentral.